UACGGGAGGCAGCAGUGGGGAAUAUUGCACAAUGGACACAAGCCUGAUGCAGCGACGCCGCGUGAAGGAUGGAGGCCUUCGGUUGUGAACCUCUUUCGCCAGUGAAGAAGGUCCUGCUCUUUGUGGUGGGGUUGACGGUAGCUGGGUUAAUGAAGCGCCGGCUAACUACGUGCCAGCAGCCGCGGUAAU
This 189-nucleotide ribosomal RNA is filed under the name uncultured Actinomyces sp. RNAcentral describes it as "partial 16S ribosomal RNA". It matches the Rfam family "Bacterial small subunit ribosomal RNA", at positions 340 to 524 of the family's 1533-position model. The record is from RNAcentral. Lineage: Bacteria; Bacillati; Actinomycetota; Actinomycetes; Actinomycetales; Actinomycetaceae.